Molecule: ribosomal RNA, 126 nt
Filed under: uncultured bacterium
Lineage: Bacteria
Description: partial 16S ribosomal RNA
Rfam family: Bacterial small subunit ribosomal RNA
Source: RNAcentral
UGACGCAGCGACGCCGCGUGAGUGAUGAAGGCCUUCGGGUCGUAAAGCUCUGUCCUCAGGGAAGAAGCAAGUGACGGUACCUGAGGAGGAAGCCCCGGCUAACUACGUGCCAGCAGCCGCGGUAAU